Molecule: ribosomal RNA, 270 nt
Filed under: uncultured prokaryote
Description: partial 16S ribosomal RNA
Rfam family: Bacterial small subunit ribosomal RNA
Source: RNAcentral
UACGUAGUGGGCGAGCGUUGUCCGGAUUUACUGGGCGUAAAGGGUGAGUAGGCGGUUAUAUAUGUCAGGUGUAAAAAGCUAUGGCUUAACCAUAGUAAGCACUUGAAACUGUAUGACUUGAGUGCAGGAGAGGUAAGCGGAAUUCCUAGUGUAGCGGUGAAAUGCGUAGAUAUUAGGAGGAACACCGGUGGCGAAGGCGGCUUACUGGACUGUAACUGACGCUGAGUCACGAAAGCGUGGGUAGCAAACAGGAUUAGAUACCCUGGUAGU